This 548-nucleotide non-coding RNA is filed under the name Pongo abelii (Sumatran orangutan). Lineage: Eukaryota; Metazoa; Chordata; Mammalia; Primates; Hominidae. The record is from RNAcentral.
CUCUUCCCAGAGAGCCAGGGAUCCCAAGGUGCAAAGUUUGGAGCCAGGGGCAGGCUGAGCCUCUGUUCUCCUAGUUCCAGCCUUGGCUCUUUAAUGAAAAUUGUCAGUCAAGUAAUACUCCAUCAUCACCUUCCAGCAAAGAGUGAGUGGGGAGAUCUGAGAAUCGAUACUGAACAGCUUCAGUACUACGAUGCCAUAAUGGGGCUGUGAGCUCAGCCGAAAGCCCCCCGCCCAGUUUUUUUUGGAAGUGGUCAUAGAAUCUCUCUGGAGAAACAACAUGGAAAUGGAGACCAAAAGAGGGAAGGAGGGAUGCCACCAGAUGACACUGGGAUCCCGGAAGACGGAACACUGUGUGCAACGGGCAAAGAACUUUUCAAAAGGGAUUUCAACCUCUGACCACCUGGAGACAGGCGACUGGUGCUCAUUGUAAAUGCACUGACAUGACAGGGAACAGCUGCUGGGGAGGUGGAGAUGGUGCGGGGAGAGACAGGAAGCCCCAGAGGCUUGGAAAUCCAGGAGCCACAGGAAGCAGUGAGCUUUCUGCGGAG